Molecule: long non-coding RNA, 175 nt
Organism: Carassius gibelio (silver crucian carp)
Lineage: Eukaryota; Metazoa; Chordata; Actinopteri; Cypriniformes; Cyprinidae
Exons: 3
Source: RefSeq, a predicted model, not a curated record
GGGCUCCAGUGCACUGCCUCUCAUGAUCUUGCUGAUGUCCUUCAUCCACGCUGGACUCACUCAAGAUUCAUCUUCACUGACUGUGACUCCAGACAGUACAGUAUUCACUGGAGAGACAGUCAAUCUGAAGUGUGUGAUUGAGACUUACAGUAACUGGAGAUAUGAGUGGUAUAAA